Molecule: ribosomal RNA, 368 nt
Filed under: uncultured bacterium
Lineage: Bacteria
Description: partial 16S ribosomal RNA
Rfam family: Bacterial small subunit ribosomal RNA
Source: RNAcentral
CCUACGGGGUGCAGCAGUAGGGAAUCUUCCACAAUGGGCGAAAGCCUGAUGGAGCAACGCCGCGUGGGUGAAGAAGGUCUUCGGAUCGUAAAACUCUGUUGUUAGAGAAGAAAGUGCGGGAGAGUAACUGUUCACGUUUCGACGGUACCUAACCAGAAAGCCACGGCUAACUACGUGCCCGCAGCCGCGGGAAUACGUAGGUGGCAAGCGUUAUCCGGAUUUAUUGGGCGUAAAGGGAACGCAGGCGGUCGUUUAAGUCUGAUGUGAAAGCCGUCGGCUUAACCGGGGUAGUGCAUUUGAUACUGGGAGGCUUGAGUGCAGAAGAGGAAGGUGGAACGCCAUGUGUAGCGGUGAAAUGCGUAGAUAUA